CUACGGGACGCACCAGUGAGGAAUAUUGCACAAUGGGGGGAACCCUGAUGCAGCAACGCCGCGUGGAGGAUGACGCAUUUCGGUGUGUAAACUCCUUUUAUAUGUCAAGAAAAUGACGGUAGCAUAUGAAUAAGCACCGGCUAACUCCGUGCCAGCAGCCGCGGUAAUACGGAGGGUGCAAGCGUUACUCGGAAUCACUGGGCGUAAAGGACGCGUAGGCGGGUUGGAAAGUCAGGUGUGAAAUCCUACAGCUUAACUGUAGAACUGCACUUGAAACUUCUAAUCUAGAGUAUGGGAGGGGAGAUGGAAUUAGUGGUGUAGGGGUAAAAUCCGUAGAUAUCACUAGGAAUACCUAAAGCGAAGACGAUCCCCUGGAACAUUACUGACGCUAAGGCGUGAAAGCGUGGGGAGCAAACAGGAUUAGAUACCCCCGUAGUC
This 438-nucleotide ribosomal RNA is filed under the name uncultured bacterium. RNAcentral's name for it is "partial 16S ribosomal RNA". It matches the Rfam family "Bacterial small subunit ribosomal RNA", at positions 339 to 795 of the family's 1533-position model. The record is from RNAcentral.